UCUUCUGAAUUUCAUGUGAAUUUAAGAGGCAUUUUGAUUUCAGAAAAGAGGCCCAUCUUUUCCUAUAAAUAAGAGGGCCUCUCCUUUGUAUGAGCACUUUUGAGCUUGCAAUGUUAUGCUGCAGAAUUAAUUUCCCAGCUUCUUGUGCUCUGAAGUCACCUUGUUCUUCUACUUCUUCUCCCUUUCUCAAGCUUCCUUCCACCUUAGGAAGGCCUUCUGAGCUGUGAGAUCUCACCCAUACACAUCUCGUCCAUUAAAACACAUUGAACACUGCAUCAUCAAUUCAUUUUCCGCUG
RNAcentral lists this long non-coding RNA (296 nucleotides) under Vigna radiata. Its description in RNAcentral is "long non-coding RNA (VRAD_LNC014669)". Lineage: Eukaryota; Viridiplantae; Streptophyta; Magnoliopsida; Fabales; Fabaceae. The record is from RNAcentral.